Molecule: small nuclear RNA, 138 nt
Organism: Choloepus hoffmanni (Hoffmann's two-fingered sloth)
Lineage: Eukaryota; Metazoa; Chordata; Mammalia; Pilosa; Megalonychidae
Gene: U4
Rfam family: U4 spliceosomal RNA
About the family: U4 small nuclear RNA (U4 snRNA) is a component of the major U2-dependent spliceosome. The structure of U4 snRNA from yeast and human has been reported.
Source: Ensembl
AACUUUGUGCAGUGGGAGUAUCGCAGCCAAUGAGGGUCAUCUGAAGUGUGAUUACUGCUCACUGAAAACUUUCCCAAAGCAACCUACAAAUUCAAUGCAAUCCUAUCAAAAUACUAGCAACCUUUUUUGCAGAAAAGG